Molecule: long non-coding RNA, 1017 nt
Filed under: Bos mutus (wild yak)
Lineage: Eukaryota; Metazoa; Chordata; Mammalia; Artiodactyla; Bovidae
Description: lncRNA (ENSBMUG00000018508.1)
Source: RNAcentral
GUUGUUUUUUUUUUUUAACCUGAGUACCUUUUGUUUACAGUGCCUAUUGUUCUGUUACCUAUUAUUGGUUCUCCUCAGACUGGCGAUUGGCUGAUGGCGCCGUCAAUCCCCAGGGGAAAGGACUAACUUUCAGACAUCUCGGGAAAAUAUUACUGUGAGCCCCUUCUUGCUGAAAUGAAAGGUUCUGGAGAAAACCCAAGAGAUUCGGGAAAUGGUGCCAGGUCAACUCAAGACACCCCUAUUCCACCCACACUUUAGAGUGCUGGAGAAGCUGGUGUGUGCAUCUAUAGAUAAUCAGAAAGCUACUUUGUGAACCUGGAAUGAAAAAAAGCAGGACUGGAUGUAUUAUUUUAUGGUACUUAUCAAGAAUGGCUGGCUAAAUAAUGGUACAGCUUCACAAUGGAAAAUGUAUCUAAAUAUAUAGUGCUAACAUGAAGCACCAUGAGAGUAUGACUAGUAUACUCUCAUUUUCAUGAAAAAAAUUGAGCCAUAUUUAUAACUGAAAUAUGCUAAAAGAGUAGAGCUUAAAUGUUCUUUACCCCCCCCCCCGCAAUUUUUUUUUUUAUAAUGCAAUAAUCAUUAUCCCAGCCCAGGGUAUUGUGCCUGUUUAUUCAGUUCAACCCCUCUGAGCAUAAAUUUGGGACAGUUAGGUUUCCAAGCACAACCCCCCACCUUCACCUUUGGAAUUUAUAGAAGUCUCAGGAGAAUCCAUUUGGACAGAAGUUAGGCAUCUUCUCCAUUGAGCAGUCAAGAGUUAAGAGAUCAUUGAAGUACAAAGAAUCUGUAUCAUGCAAUAUUUACAUUGCAGGUAGGGUCUUCCUUUCAGCAAAAUAGCAUCAAAUGUCACAUCAGAUAUUGUUCAGGUGAAGCUUAUCUGACUUUAUAUUGAGUUUGUAAGUGUGUUUUGGUUUUAUAGCUAUAUAAGCAUAAAGCAUUUAUACCAAGGUUGAUAUAUUUUUAUCAAAAAUUAUAAGGACUAGAUGGUCCAUGAGAAGUUUAUUUUCCUUUAGACGGGUG